GGAUGUGAGGGCGAUCUGGCUGCACCAUCUGUCACCCCAUUGAUAGCCAGGGUUGAUUCGGCUGAUCUGGCUGGCUAGGCAGGUGUCCCCUUCCUCCCUCACUGCUCCAUUGUGUCCUUCCCAAAGCUGCACGCUUGGUGGUCAAAGAGGAUGGCCUUCCCCCGAAUAGAGAUAGACUAGUCUUCGGUAGAGGCUAUAGGAGUAGCUGCUCUCCCCUGCCAGAACCUCCAAACAAGCUCUCUAGUGGGAAAUCCAGAAGUAUGCAUGGAUUACCUCGUAAAAGAAACUCAAUUUUGAAAGUCUUAUUCACUAAGGAUUGAUUAGCUCUUC
This 330-nucleotide small nuclear RNA is filed under the name Erinaceus europaeus (western European hedgehog). Its description in RNAcentral is "7SK RNA (ENSEEUG00000016966.1)". It matches the Rfam family "7SK RNA". Rfam says of the family: 7SK was discovered as an abundant small nuclear RNA in the mid-70s but a possible function has only recently been suggested. The record is from RNAcentral. Lineage: Eukaryota; Metazoa; Chordata; Mammalia; Eulipotyphla; Erinaceidae.